Molecule: ribosomal RNA, 494 nt
Filed under: Mammaliicoccus sciuri
Lineage: Bacteria; Bacillati; Bacillota; Bacilli; Caryophanales; Staphylococcaceae
Description: bacterial SSU rRNA
Rfam family: Bacterial small subunit ribosomal RNA
Source: RNAcentral
GGCGGCGUGCCUAAUACAUGCAAGUCGAGCGAACAGAUGAGAAGCUUGCUUCUCUGAUGUUAGCGGCGGACGGGUGAGUAACACGUGGGUAACCUACCUAUAAGACUGGGAUAACUCCGGGAAACCGGGGCUAAUACCGGAUAAUAUUUUGAACCGCAUGGUUCAAUAGUGAAAGACGGUUUCGGCUGUCACUUAUAGAUGGACCCGCGCCGUAUUAGCUAGUUGGUAAGGUAACGGCUUACCAAGGCGACGAUACGUAGCCGACCUGAGAGGGUGAUCGGCCACACUGGAACUGAGACACGGUCCAGACUCCUACGGGAGGCAGCAGUAGGGAAUCUUCCGCAAUGGGCGAAAGCCUGACGGAGCAACGCCGCGUGAGUGAUGAAGGUCUUCGGAUCGUAAAACUCUGUUGUUAGGGAAGAACAAAUUUGUUAGUAACUGAACAAGUCUUGACGGUACCUAACCAGAAAGCCACGGCUAACUACGUGCCAGCA